GUACUUAUCUCUCUACCAUACAGAAGAAAGCAAGUUGGUACACUUCCUCACUAAUUUGCCACUUCUUCAGGAAAAUGUACAUUUAUCAAUCUGUGGCUGAAUUUUAUUUCAACACUUUGCAGAUGUAACCUUGUCAUCUGAAAGCUGUGAGUUGAUUUUUUUUGAGAAAAUCCGUGCCCUUUUAUGGAACAGUGGCUUCUAAAAACAUCUUCUACAGAAGUAAUUUGUGGAUACC
This is a non-coding RNA of Pelobates cultripes (western spadefoot toad), 235 nucleotides long. Lineage: Eukaryota; Metazoa; Chordata; Amphibia; Anura; Pelobatidae. The record is from the annotation of a GenBank genome assembly.